UUUUUAUACACAUCCCGUUUAUUUUGUAGUUAAUUGUUAGAUAAGUAAGUAAUUUCGUCAAGUUUUCGUUACAGAGUAAGAUUUCGUUAUCAUCGUUACCAUAUACAGUAUUUAUAUUGGUUCAAGAGCGCAGUUUGAUAACUCAUUCAAGGGGGUUCUGUUCCUGCAGUCUUCCAGCAAUACUGGCGCGUAUGACGAUGCGGACACGAACUGCACACUACACCUUUAAACAUCUAAACAUGUCCUCCAAAAAGGUAAGUUCAGCAGAUCAGCUUAUCUUAUUCUGUAAUAUUGAUACUGGUUUGAGAAAAACUAAGAUUAAACAACGUACAUGUUUCCAGGAAAAAGGGAAAAACACUGGAAAACAAUUUCAGCCUAAGGUUUGAGAUGGCUAACUGUGUACAUUGCCUUUGUGUACUGCAAGCUGAACUUACAGAUUUAUAUGGACUUUACUUACAGGUUUCCUGUGCUGUUUUGCUCCAUUUUACAGAACAAAAUAAGGCUGAGGUAGCACCAUCCUUGUGGUUAGAGUGAAAGAAUGUGGGUAUUGAGACCAAAAUAAAUAAUGUGCCAUUCUGGACAAACAGCUGUGGACAAUACAAGCAGUCAGAGUAGCCCAUUUUCUCACACAGAUGAGGAGCAACCAGUAAGAAAAAGCAAAAAGAUGUUUUGAUGUUGCCUGAGGCACCUUAUUCACAUCAGUCAAUUUCUUCCAAUAAUGAAUCAAGAAAUCCUGGAGUGGAGAAUCAUUCUGAAAGUAGACCAAAUACAGGACAACACCACAGCAGUGGUUGGAAAAAUGCAGCAGACAAUGAGCAAACCAAGCUGACUUUCAAAAGAUGAUUCGUUAUCUGUUUCUUCAAAGGGGAGGCAGUUUGGGAGAUGGGAAAUAGGAGGAUGCUUCAGCUACACAGGGCGAAUUUCAGCAGCUCAGUUUCACACUUGCAACUAACAAUGAAUUAUAGUUAGAAGACAACGGAAAUAUUUGACAUGGGAGUCCAGCAGACAGCCAGAGACACGCACACACACGGAGCUGAAGCGCGUUUGACUGACGCGUACGGGAGAUCAGGCACGCGCACGGGAGAUCAGGCACGCGCACGGGAGCUCGCUCGCGCACGCACACACAAACACGGAGCACAGGAAAAUUACACCUGUU
Molecule: long non-coding RNA, 1156 nt
Organism: Paramisgurnus dabryanus
Lineage: Eukaryota; Metazoa; Chordata; Actinopteri; Cypriniformes; Cobitidae
Source: RefSeq, a predicted model, not a curated record